UACGGAGGUCCCAAGCGUUGUUCGGAUUCAUUGGGCGUAAAGGGUGCGUAGGCGGCGCGGUAAGUCGGGUGUGAAAUCUCGGGGCUUAACUCCGAAACUGCAUUCGAUACUGCCGUGCUUGAGGACUGGAGAGGAGACUGGAAUUUACGAUGUAGCGGUGAAAUGCGUAGAUAUCGUAAGGAAGACCAGUGGCGAAGGCGGGUCUCUGGACAGUACCUGACGCUGAGGCACGAAGGCCAGGGGAGCAAACGGG
RNAcentral lists this ribosomal RNA (253 nucleotides) under uncultured bacterium. RNAcentral describes it as "partial 16S ribosomal RNA". It matches the Rfam family "Bacterial small subunit ribosomal RNA", at positions 524 to 776 of the family's 1533-position model. The record is from RNAcentral.